CAGCAGCAGCCGCGGGAAUACGGAGGGUGCAAGCGUUAUCCGGAUUUAUUGGGUUUAAAGGGUCCGUAGGCGGAUCUGUAAGUCAGUGGUGAAAUCUCACAGCUUAACUGUGAAACUGCCAUUGAUACUGCAGGUCUUGAGUAAAUUUGAAGUGGCUGGAAUAAGUAGUGUAGCGGUGAAAUGCAUAGAUAUUACUUAGAACACCAAUUGCGAAGGCAGGUCACUAAGAUUUAACUGACGCUGAUGGACGAAAGCGUGGGUAGCGAACAGGAUUAGAUACCCCAGUAGUCCCUGUCUCUUAUAC
Molecule: ribosomal RNA, 304 nt
Filed under: uncultured bacterium
Lineage: Bacteria
Description: partial 16S ribosomal RNA
Rfam family: Bacterial small subunit ribosomal RNA
Source: RNAcentral